GUUUUGCGCCGCGGCUGCUCCAGCGCAGAACCUCUUGAGAAGCUGCGCGGCUGCGCAGACUUUUAAACCCGUGGAUGCGUGACCUGGUGACGUCAUUCCGGCUGAGUUCACGCAGACGAUGAAUUUGGACGGGUUUUCCGCAGAACCUGCGCAGACUGAGCAAAGUUUGCGUAUCGUGAACGCAGCCUGAACCCGUGUGAGACACGAGUUAUGGCAAAGGGAAUUGUAUUUUGUGUUACCUGAACUGAAGUCUUAUUUUCACUUCGAAGAAUAGACUUUUUUUGUGUGGUUUAGAAAGUCAAUGUAUAUCUGUUUGAUACACAUUUGAGAUAAUCCUAUUUAAAAGGUAUUACCGAGAAAAAACACACUUCCUGCAUACAAAAACGACUUAAGAAGAAGAGAGAUAGCGACGGAUCCGUAUGAGGAAAGCUGAAGGAGGUUUGGGAAGCGGGGAGCAGCGGAUCCAGCGCUCUGAUGCCAGGAAGAAACCACACUGUCAGGGGAUGAAAACAAUCACACAAACAAAGCAUCUAGAUCCUAAAAUAAAAUCAACUGGAUUAUAUGAAAGACUUGAGUGCUUUAUUUUGUAUUGACACCUUUCUGCAAUGUGAUUCUGUUUGGUAUCUGACCAUGUGGUGCUCAACUCUGUUGAAAUUAUCUAUGAUAGAUUAGCCCGUAUUUUCAAUGACUUUUACUCUAGUCUUUUUAAUUCCUUCCUCUUUCUUGAAAGGGGUAGAACACAAUUUUACAGAGCCUUGUGAAAACUGGAGGGUAGAUUUAAAGAUGAUAUGCAAUGAAAAAAUGUCCGACCAGAGGGUCGUUGAAUUGAAACCCUUUCAAAAUAAAAAUCCCCCUGUCAAUUCUGUAAAUCAGUUUUUUCAUUUUGCACUUUGAAUUUCAU
This is a long non-coding RNA of Acipenser ruthenus (sterlet), 901 nucleotides long. RefSeq lists it as uncharacterized. The transcript has 2 exons. The record is from RefSeq and is a predicted model, not a curated record. NCBI's taxonomy places the organism in Eukaryota, Metazoa, Chordata, Actinopteri, Acipenseriformes, Acipenseridae.